AAAGUUGGUGGUGAAAUCCCAGAGCUUUACUCUGGAACUGCCAUCAAACUUUUCAGCUAGAGUUUGAUAGAGGAAAGCAGAAUUUCUAGUGUAGAGGUGAAAUUCGUAGAUAUUAGAAAGAAUACCAAUUGCGAAGGCAGCUUUCUGGAUCAAUACUGACACUGAGGAACGAAAGCAUGGGUAGCGAAGAGGAUUAGAUACCCUCGUAGUCCAUGCCGUAAACGAUGUGUGUUAGACGUUGGAAAUUUAUUUUCAGUGUCGCAGCGAAAGCGAUAAACACACCGCCUGGGGAGUACGACCGCAAGGUUAAAACUCAAAUGAAUUGACGGGGACCCGCACAAGUAGUGGAGCAUGUGGUUUAAUUCGAAGAUACGCGCAGAACCUUACCAACACUUGACAUGUUCGUCGCGACUUUAAGAGAUUAAAGUUUUCGGUUCGGCCGGACGAAACACAGGUGCUGCAUGGCUGUCGUCAGCUCGUGUCGUGAGAUGUUGGGUUAAGUCCCGCAACGAGCGCAACCCUCACUUUUAGUUGCCAUCAUUAAGUUGGGCACUCUGAAAGAACUGCCAGUGAUAAGCUGGAGGAAGGUGGGGAUGACGUCAAGUCCUCAUGGCCCUUACGUGUUGGGCUACACACGUGCUACAAUGGUAUUUACAACAGGAAGCAAAACGGCGACGUUUAGCAAAUCCUUAAAAAAUACCUCAGUUCGGAUUGCACUCUGCAACUCGAGUGCAUGAAGCUGGAAUUACUAGUAAUCGUGGAUCAGCGUGCCACGGUGAAUGCGUUCCCGGGUCUUGUACACACCGCCCGUCACACCAUGGGAGUUGGUUCUACCUUAAGGCAAGGCUUUAAAACCUUGACCACGGUAUAGUCAGCGACUGGGGUGAAGUCGUAACAAGGUAGCCGUAGGGGAACCUGCGGCUG
This 924-nucleotide ribosomal RNA is filed under the name marine metagenome. RNAcentral's name for it is "bacterial SSU rRNA". It matches the Rfam family "Bacterial small subunit ribosomal RNA", at positions 584 to 1520 of the family's 1533-position model. The record is from RNAcentral.